UACAGAGGGUGCAAGCGUUAAUCGGAAUUACUGGGCGUAAAGCGUGCGUAGACGGUUAUUUAAGUCAGGUGUGAAAGCCCCGGGCUCAACCUGGGAAUUGCAUUUGAGACUGAAUAGCUAGGGUGCGGAAGAGGGAAGCGGAAUUUCCGGUGUAGCGGUGAAAUGCGUAGAUAUCAGGAGGAGCACCGGUGGCGAAGGCGGCUACCUGGACAGAAACUGACGCUGAGGCGCGAAAGCUAGGGGAGCAAACAGG
This 253-nucleotide ribosomal RNA is filed under the name uncultured bacterium. RNAcentral's name for it is "partial 16S ribosomal RNA". It matches the Rfam family "Bacterial small subunit ribosomal RNA", at positions 524 to 776 of the family's 1533-position model. The record is from RNAcentral.